Molecule: non-coding RNA, 401 nt
Organism: Pelobates cultripes (western spadefoot toad)
Lineage: Eukaryota; Metazoa; Chordata; Amphibia; Anura; Pelobatidae
Source: the annotation of a GenBank genome assembly
CACUUAUUUCAUUAAAAAAAUUUAUUUUCCUUUUCAUUGAUAGUAUAGAUAAACAUGAGCAUAUACAUCAUACAUAACAUGACAAUAACAAUGUGCCAAAUGACCGUGGUAUAUACAAUUAUCUAUGUUCAUACUUGACUGCUUUCAAGUGAUAAUACUGCUCAACCUGGACUAACAAAAUAAGUCCUGUAAUAACAUUUGCAAAGAUUCCAGUGGAGAUGAAAAAUACUUAAAUUAUUUAAUGUCCUCUCUCAUGGCAGCAUCCGCAGCUCAAACGGUCCAAUGUACUCUACAAUCGAUAUAGAACUCAUCGCAAAGUGUACACACAUUCCAACAAAGAAUUAGUCCCUUCUGGUGCUUGACAAAUACCUCCUCCAUAUUAGAAAGGCAGGAGUAAAACC